GCUUCAAUCGGAGGAAUUAGGGAGGAAAAGAGGGGAAAAAGAUCGGUGGAGGGUCUCUUAGGAAGGGGGAGGUCUCUUUAUAGAGAGCCCUAGGACUCCUGAUCGCCCGAGGACUCCUGAUCAUGGUGGUUUAAUCAGAGAAGAAGACUCCCGAUAGGAGUCUUCUUCCCGAUUCUCCUGUUCUUGUUUUUUUUUUUGUUUGGGCUUUGGAUUCGUUACUCGGGCUGGGCCUCACAAAGAAGAUAGAUGAAUGGUUAGGAUUUUAUUUGUAAAGGAUGGAUGGAUGGAUAGAUAGUUGGUUAAAUAGGAAAG
This 312-nucleotide long non-coding RNA is filed under the name Elaeis guineensis (African oil palm). RNAcentral describes it as "long non-coding RNA (EGUI_LNC081280)". The record is from RNAcentral. Lineage: Eukaryota; Viridiplantae; Streptophyta; Magnoliopsida; Arecales; Arecaceae.